This 324-nucleotide ribosomal RNA is filed under the name uncultured eukaryote. RNAcentral describes it as "partial 18S ribosomal RNA". It matches the Rfam family "Eukaryotic small subunit ribosomal RNA", at positions 1470 to 1796 of the family's 1831-position model. The record is from RNAcentral.
CCCUUAGAUGUUCUGGGCUGCACGCGCGCUACACUGAAGCUAUCAACACGUUUUCCCUCCCUGAGAAGGGCGGGUAACCUUUUGAAUCAGCUUCGUGGUAGGGAUCGGGGCUUGCAAUUGUUCCCCGUGAACCAGGAAUUCCUAGUAGACGCGAGUCAUAAGCUCGCAUCGAUUAAGUCCCUGCCCUCUGUACACACCGCCCGUCGCUACUACCGAUUGAACGUUUUAGUGAGGCAUUUGGACCGACGCAUCUCAGUUUAACCGCUGGUUUGUGUUGGAAAGACUUCCAAACUUGAGCGUUUAGAGGAAGUAAAAGUCGUAACA